CCCUUAGUAGCGGCGAGCGAAACGGGAAGAGCCCAAACCAACAAGCUUGCUUGUUGGGGUUGUAGGACACUCUAUACGGAGUUACAAAGGACGACAUUAGACGAAUCAUCUGGAAAGAUGAAUCAAAGAAGGUAAUAAUCCUGUAGUCGAAAAUGUUGUCUCUCUUGAGUGGAUCCUGAGUACGACGGAGCACGUGAAAUUCCGUCGGAAUCUGGGAGGACCAUCUCCUAAGGCUAAAUACUCUCUAGUGACCGAUAGUGAACCAGUACCGUGAGGGAAAGGUGAAAAGCACCCCGGAAGGGGAGUGAAAUAGAACCUGAAACCGUGUGCUUACAAGUAGUCAGAGCCCGUUAAUGGGUGAUGGCGUGCCUUUUGUAGAAUGAACCGGCGAGUUACGAUUUGAUGCAAGGUUAAGCAGUAAAUGUGGAGCCGUAGCGAAAGCGAGUCUGAAUAGGGCGUUUAGUAUUUGGUCGUAGACCCGAAACCAGGUGAUCUACCCUUGGUCAGGUUGAAGUUCAGGUAACACUGAAUGGAGGACCGAACCGACUUACGUUGAAAAGUGAGCGGAUGAACUGAGGGUAGCGGAGAAAUUCCAAUCGAACCUGGAGAUAGCUGGUUCUCUCCGAAAUAGCUUUAGGGCUAGCCUCAAGUGAUGAUUAUUGGAGGUAGAGCACUGUUUGGACGAGGGGCCCCUCUCGGGUUACCGAAUUCAGACAAACUCCGAAUGCCAAUUAAUUUAACUUGGGAGUCAGAACAUGGGUGAUAAGGUCCGUGUUCGAAAGGGAAACAGCCCAGACCACCAGCUAAGGUCCCAAAAUAUAUGUUAAGUGGAAAAGGAUGUGGCGUUGCCCAGACAACUAGGAUGUUGGCUUAGAAGCAGCCAUCAUUUAAAGAGUGCGUAAUAGCUCACUAGUCGAGUGACACUGCGCCGAAAAUGUACCGGGGCUAAACAUAUUACCGAAGCUGUGGAUUGUCCUUUGGACAAUGGUAGGAGAGCGUUCUAAGGGCGUUGAAGCAUGAUCGUAAGGACAUGUGGAGCGCUUAGAAGUGAGAAUGCCGGUGUGAGUAGCGAAAGACGGGUGAGAAUCCCGUCCACCGAUUGACUAAGGUUUCCAGAGGAAGGCUCGUCCGCUCUGGGUUAGUCGGGUCCUAAGCUGAGGCCGACAGGCGUAGGCGAUGGAUAACAGGUUGAUAUUCCUGUACCACCUAUAAUCGUUUUAAUCGAUGGGGGGACGCAGUAGGAUAGGCGAAGCGUGCGAUUGGAUUGCACGUCUAAGCAGUAAGGCUGAGUAUUAGGCAAAUCCGGUACUCGUUAAGGCUGAGCUGUGAUGGGGAGAAGACAUUGUGUCUUCGAGUCGUUGAUUUCACACUGCCGAGAAAAGCCUCUAGAUAGAAAAUAGGUGCCCGUACCGCAAACCGACACAGGUAGUCAAGAUGAGAAUUCUAAGGUGAGCGAGCGAACUCUCGUUAAGGAACUCGGCAAAAUGACCCCGUAACUUCGGGAGAAGGGGUGCUCUUUAGGGUUAACGCCCAGAAGAGCCGCAGUGAAUAGGCCCAAGCGACUGUUUAUCAAAAACACAGGUCUCUGCUAAACCGUAAGGUGAUGUAUAGGGGCUGACGCCUGCCCGGUGCUGGAAGGUUAAGAGGAGUGGUUAGCUUCUGCGAAGCUACGAAUCGAAGCCCCAGUAAACGGCGGCCGUAACUAUAACGGUCCUAAGGUAGCGAAAUUCCUUGUCGGGUAAGUUCCGACCCGCACGAAAGGCGUAACGAUUUGGGCACUGUCUCAACGAGAGACUCGGUGAAAUCAUAGUACCUGUGAAGAUGCAGGUUACCCGCGACAGGACGGAAAGACCCCGUGGAGCUUUACUGUAGCCUGAUAUUGAAAUUCGGCACAGCUUGUACAGGAUAGGUAGGAGCCUUUGAAACGUGAGCGCUAGCUUACGUGGAGGCGCUGGUGGGAUACUACCCUAGCUGUGUUGGNUUUCUAACCCGCACCACUUAUCGUGGUGGGAGACAGUGUCAGGCGGGCAGUUUGACUGGGGCGGUCGCCUCCUAAAAGGUAACGGAGGCGCUCAAAGGUUCCCUCAGAAUGGUUGGAAAUCAUUCAUAGAGUGUAAAGGCAUAAGGGAGCUUGACUGCGAGACCUACAAGUCGAGCAGGGUCGAAAGACGGACUUAGUGAUCCGGUGGUUCCGCAUGGAAGGGCCAUCGCUCAACGGAUAAAAGCUACCCCGGGGAUAACAGGCUUAUCUCCCCCAAGAGUUCACAUCGACGGGGAGGUUUGGCACCUCGAUGUCGGCUCAUCGCAUCCUGGGGCUGUAGUCGGUCCCAAGGGUUGGGCUGUUCGCCCAUUAAAGCGGUACGCGAGCUGGGUUCAGAACGUCGUGAGACAGUUCGGUCCCUAUCCGUCGUGGGCGUAGGAAAUUUGAGAGGAGCUGUCCUUAGUACGAGAGGACCGGGAUGGACAUACCUCUGGUGUACCAGUUGUCGUGCCAACGGCAUAGCUGGGUAGCUAUGUGUGGACGGGAUAAGUGCUGAAAGCAUCUAAGCAUGAAGCCCCCCUCAAGAUGAGAUUUCCCAACUUCGGUUAUAAGAUCCCUCAAAGAUGAUGAGGUUAAUAGGUUCGAGGUGGAAGCAUGGUGACAUGUGGAGCUGACGAAUACUAAUCGAUCGAAGACUUAAUCAA
This 2685-nucleotide ribosomal RNA is filed under the name Staphylococcus aureus. RNAcentral describes it as "23S ribosomal RNA". It matches the Rfam family "Bacterial large subunit ribosomal RNA". Lineage: Bacteria; Bacillati; Bacillota; Bacilli; Caryophanales; Staphylococcaceae. The record is from RNAcentral.